CUGCUCUGGCAGCACAUGGACUAAAACUGGGAAAUUACUGAAAAGAUUAGCAUGGCCCCUGCACAUGGAUGACACACAAACUGAUGAAGUGUUCUGUAUUUUU
Molecule: non-coding RNA, 103 nt
Organism: Erinaceus europaeus (western European hedgehog)
Lineage: Eukaryota; Metazoa; Chordata; Mammalia; Eulipotyphla; Erinaceidae
Source: Rfam